CCUGCCUGAAAAGAUGUGUUUUUAAGGUACAUUUGAUGAGAGUAGGUGCAGCUCAAGAAAAGUCUUGAAGAUGGGAGUGAGAGGUACGAAUUAUGGAGGAUGUUAAUCUUAGAUCACUAACAGAGCGAAGAGCACAUGUAGGGUGGUAGACGGAAAUGAGGGAGGAGAUGUAUGGAGGUGCAGCACUGUGGAGAGCUUUGUGGUGAGGGUGAGAAGUUUGAACU
Molecule: long non-coding RNA, 224 nt
Organism: Bufo bufo (common toad)
Lineage: Eukaryota; Metazoa; Chordata; Amphibia; Anura; Bufonidae
Exons: 3
Source: RefSeq, a predicted model, not a curated record